Molecule: ribosomal RNA, 576 nt
Filed under: Triticum aestivum (bread wheat)
Lineage: Eukaryota; Viridiplantae; Streptophyta; Magnoliopsida; Poales; Poaceae
Description: partial small subunit ribosomal RNA
Source: RNAcentral
AUGAGAGUAGCGUUUCAGAUUUUGUCGCUCAAUACGCAAUUUGAUAGGACACGUGAGCGUGUGAUAAAACCCGAGCUGACCUGUAAAGCGGGACCAACAGACAGAGCUGCCGUGCCUCGCAGAACUUCCAGCCAACCCAACCCGCACAAGUCGCGAGGCCCGCGUCUCCGUGUCUCCCAAUCCAACCAGCCGAGUCGCGAUCUCCCCCACAGAAAAACAGAGCCGCGCACGCAUCGUUGGUCCAGCUCCCCUCCCCUCCCGCAGCUCCGCCCCCGCCUCCGAGUCCGGCGACCGCGAGCAACCCAGCCGGAGACAGCUGCGGGCGAGCGAACCGCGAUGGGGCUGUGCUCGUGCUGCUGCCGGUGCCUGGAGAUCAUGUGCGCCAUCCUCCUCCCGCCCCUCGGCGUCUGCCUCCGCCACGGCUGCUGCUCCAUGGAGUUCUGGAUCAGCGUGCUGCUCACCAUCCUCGGCUACCUGCCGGGCGUCCUCUACGCCGCCUACGUCAUCUGCUCCGUCGACCCCGACCGCGUCCGCCGCCGCGGCGACAGCGACGACGACUACAUCUACGUCGCCUGA